UUAGACAGAACCACCGAUUCAGUUUGCUCUCAUGUUUUAAGUUCACUUUUGGCAGUUUGCUUCCGUUAGAAAACUCAAGUCAAGAUGAUGGAUGAGGACCGAAAGAACAUGAUUGAGAAGUUCAUUGGACAUGACUUUGGAUGGUGGAAGAUGCAAGUCGAGGACUUGCUGAGUCAGAAAGAUCUUCUUCGGUGAGAAGAUAAAGGAUGAAGAAUGGGUUGACUUGGAUAGAAAAGCCCUAGCAAUCAUCAGGUGCAUUUUAACCAAGAACGUGGCUUUCAACAUCGUGAAAGAGACUACCGCUCAUGGGGUUAUGAGUUAUGACAACUCUAUCAAACAUGUAUGAGAAACUAUAUGUGUCUAAUAAGGCGUGGAUCCAUUGCUCUCCUCAAGCUCUCUUUUCUAAUUUCUCCUUUCGGAUCCCACAUGUUUUGUCGUAG
RNAcentral lists this long non-coding RNA (440 nucleotides) under Helianthus annuus (common sunflower). Its description in RNAcentral is "sRNA HanXRQr2_Chr08g0360811". Lineage: Eukaryota; Viridiplantae; Streptophyta; Magnoliopsida; Asterales; Asteraceae. The record is from RNAcentral.